This is a long non-coding RNA of Gossypium raimondii (Peruvian cotton), 1477 nucleotides long. RefSeq lists it as uncharacterized. NCBI's taxonomy places the organism in Eukaryota, Viridiplantae, Streptophyta, Magnoliopsida, Malvales, Malvaceae. The transcript is spliced from 4 exons. The record is from RefSeq and is a predicted model, not a curated record.
GCUGAGACCUUUUCAAAUUCCCAAAGCCAUCUUAUCUUCCCAAUUCCAUGACCAUCUUUAGCAGAACAUGGAAAAACUCAAACAACACUAUCCUCUUCAGCAAAACCUUACGUCGUUCCCCUCCCAUUAUCCCAAGUCCAGCAACCCAAAAACAUCUGAAUCUCCAAACCAAUAGCACAACCUUCCCCCAAGAAACCUACCCUUUCACCAAUCCCACUCAACCUCAUUCCCCAUCCCUGCUCCUCCACCACGAAGACACCAUCAUUCAACCGACGCCUAAAUACGAUCCCUAUCCCUUCCGACCCUCCAAAUUCUUCAAGAUCCCACUCAAGGGACUUAGCUUAACACCUUCGAUCAGAACUUUUAGGUGCUACAUUCACCAUUUCUCCUCCCAACUCCCCCGUGCCGACCAUGUCUCCACCACGGCCCUAACAAAAUCAGGCACAUUCCCCACCAACGCAUUACCUUCCAGAAUAACCUCUCGAAAUCCUAAAUCAACCCCCAAGCUCAUCGCUUGAAGACAAACGAGGGCAUCCGUUGCAAACCCCGUAGGCAACAUCAUAAUUUAUUUUAAGAAAAGGAGAAUCCGGGGGCCUCCACCUCUCAUACUCUAUCCUUCCGACAGGUAACUUAUUCUGCAUUGCGUCAUUUUCAUUCAUAUCAUUCUCAACCUUUUUUUAAUACAUCCUGUGGUAGAAGAAUCACCUUGUCAUGGAUCAGCCUAUUCCUCGCAGACCAAAUAAACCAGAGGGUACAAACCACAAUUCUGCAUGUAGUACUUGGGACCAUGGAAAAAAUAUAAGUAAAUCAUUCUUGUAAAGAUGCAUUAGCUAUAUUUUCAGGCCAUCUCAAAUCUAAAAUUCUCCAUAUUUCCUCUACAGAAGAACAAUAUCUAAAUAAAUGUUCAACAGUCUCUGCGCCACCUGUACAUUUUGGAGACAUAGUUGAAUUCCUCAGCCUCUUAUUGUACAAACUAUGAUAGCUAGGAAUGUAAUUUUUAAACAUGCACCAACUGUAAUCUUUAUUUUCUCUGGUAAAUUAAUCUACCAAAGUUUUUUGUAAAAUGCUCUGUAAUUAUAGUAAGUACCAAGCACCUCAGGUGAAAUAUCCUCGUGAAGGAGGAUCUUGUAAGCACUCUGCACUGCAAAUUCACCCGAUGGUUCAUCACCCCCAAACCACCAUAUCGUCCAGUAGAUUCCUAGCAAGAGGAAUAUAUCUCUCUUCGCAACCUCAUCAGUCAAAUGCGAGGCUAGGGACCCACAUAUCUUCCCAAAUCCUUAUAUUUGUGCCCGACCCCACACGCCAGCACAAACCUAAAUUGAGCAAUCCUCGCGCAGCCCAAAUGCUUUUGCAGGUAUAUGAAGGGUAAGCACCAAGAUUGGCAUUCAAAAAUUCAUUGACGGAUAUUAUUUUGCUUUGAGUGACCUCGUUAAAAGGGAAUUCGAAAUCUUAAUCAAACGCCAUCCAUGUUUUGCAA